GAUGAACGCUGGCGGCGUGCCUAAUACAUGCAAGUCGAGCGAACAGACGAGGAGCUUGCUCCUCUGACGUUAGCGGCGGACGGGUGAGUAACACGUGGAUAACCUACCUAUAAGACUGGGAUAACUUCGGGAAACCGGAGCUAAUACCGGAUAAUAUAUUGAACCGCAUGGUUCAAUAGUGAAAGACGGUUUUGCUGUCACUUAUAGAUGGAUCCGCGCCGCAUUAGCUAGUUGGUAAGGUAACGGCUUACCAAGGCAACGAUGCGUAGCCGACCUGAGAGGGUGAUCGGCCACACUGGAACUGAGACACGGUCCAGACUCCUACGGGAGGCAGCAGUAGGGAAUCUUCCGCAAUGGGCGAAAGCCUGACGGAGCAAUGCCGCGUGAGUGAUGAAGGUCUUCGGAUCGUAAAACUCUGUUAUUAGGGAAGAACAAAUGUGUAAGUAACUAUGCACGUCUUGAUGGUACCUAAUCAGAAAGCCACGGCUAACUACGUG
This 497-nucleotide ribosomal RNA is filed under the name uncultured bacterium. Its description in RNAcentral is "partial 16S ribosomal RNA". It matches the Rfam family "Bacterial small subunit ribosomal RNA", at positions 28 to 507 of the family's 1533-position model. The record is from RNAcentral.